This 477-nucleotide ribosomal RNA is filed under the name uncultured bacterium. Its description in RNAcentral is "SSU rRNA". It matches the Rfam family "Bacterial small subunit ribosomal RNA", at positions 26 to 518 of the family's 1533-position model. The record is from RNAcentral.
AGGACGAACGCUGGCGGCGUGCUUAACACAUGCAAGUCGAGCGAUGCCCAUCUUUCGGGGUGGUGCCAUAGCGGCGAACGGGUGAGUAACACGUGGGCAAUCUGCCCCUAGCUCUGGGAUAACUCCGGGAAACCGGGGCUAAUACUGGAUAUGACCUUUCCUCGCAUGGGGUUGGGUGUAAAGGGUUUCUGGCUAGGGAUGGGCCCGCGGCCUAUCAGCUUGUUGGUGGGGUAAUGGCCUACCAAGGCGACGACGGGUAGCCGGCCUGAGAGGGCGACCGGCCACACUGGGACUGAGACACGGCCCAGACUCCUACGGGAGGCAGCAGUGGGGAAUCUUGCACAAUGGGCGAAAGCCUGAUGCAGCGACGCCGCGUGAGGGAUGACGGCCUUCGGGUUGUAACCUCUUCAGCAGGGACGAAGCGCAAGUGACGGUACCUGCAGAAGAAGCACCGGCCAACUACGCGCCAGCAGCCGC